AUAUUCCUAGUUUAGUUUUAGAAUUUUAGUUUGUCGUACUAGAGGUGGGGUUAUCUCGGGAUAUG
Molecule: transfer RNA, 65 nt
Filed under: Diplostomum ardeae
Lineage: Eukaryota; Metazoa; Platyhelminthes; Trematoda; Diplostomida; Diplostomidae
Description: tRNA-Asp
Source: RNAcentral